This is a long non-coding RNA of Varanus komodoensis (Komodo dragon), 5155 nucleotides long. RefSeq lists it as uncharacterized. Lineage: Eukaryota; Metazoa; Chordata; Lepidosauria; Squamata; Varanidae. The transcript has 2 exons. The record is from RefSeq and is a predicted model, not a curated record.
GCGCGCGCGCUGGCAGAGGGGCAGGCGCGGCGCCGUCUGCGGCAAAAAGAAGUCUUGCUUGCCGUACAGAAAGGGCACAGCGGGACCUACGCCAAACGAAGCGAGAGCCGCAGCUAGACAACUUCCACCGCGGUGUUUGCAGAGCAGUGUGCAAAUACGGGGCUGUAGCGGGGAGUCCGACAGCUCAUGCCUCUGGCGUUUGAACGCGCUCCCGGCAGAGCAGGCGCUUCGGUUCUGGGAAGGCGGGAGCUCUGGUAGGCGGUGCGAAGUAGAAAUUUAGCCAUCAUCCGGUCUGAAUUCCCGAUAAUUCCGAGAGGCGCACUCAUGGCGGAAGGGCCUGCUCUGAGCUGUUUGCUUUCAUGGCCCGACUGCCGGUGUCAACAACUCGUUUUUUCUCUUUUAAUUACACUUUAGAAGGAGUGCUUAUACUUCAAACAGUUCCGUUGAAUAUCUCUGGAAACAUAGUUGCGUACUUUGCGCCUGACUGUCUCACAGGAGUGCCGGAAGUAUGUAGAAUUUGGCUUGAGGAAACUAACCAAAACCCAGCUUUGCCUACUGAGGCCGUUUCGUCUCCUUUCUUCCCCCUCCGACCAGACACGGCAAAAACAAACUAUUAAUUCUCCUUGAGAAGAACUUCUUAAUUUCAAUUGGCAGCACAUUUCCUUCAUCAAGGGAAGAUAAACAUUUAGUCUUUCAGUUGAUGGGGUUCGACCUAAAAGAUAAAAGUUCCUAAGAUAUAUACAUUUUAUAUUUGCAGUUACUUUAGUGUCAAACAGGGGCGGAGACUCACGUGCCCACCCGAGGCAUAUCGGAUAGGCUGUAAACCCUCAAAUAACCAGCCAGUGGGGAAAAAGGGAAGGCUUCUUGCGGACGGCGACAGGGAAUUGAAGAAGAUGGCGAAGAAUGCUUAGUGUGCCUUCUUGCUUGGGGCACCCAUUUUGCAAAGAUGUAUGAAAUAAACUAGAGGUGCUUGUAUUCGUGUUGUCCGGUGUCGAUUUUUCGACUCUGGCUAAGUAUUUUUGCCGCUCACAACUUGGAGUCUCGUCCGGCAUUUUCCACUAGUCGUAGAAGGGCGUGGCCAAAUCCAGGAGACGAAAGACGCGUCCCGUUGAUUUCAACGGUUCCGCUCUGAAAACGGCGCCCUCGGCGCGCAGCGGAGAUCCUGGAGGGAGGCAACACGGUGAAGCAGGCGGGUAAAAAGGUGGACAUCUAGGGAAAACUCCGCAGCAAUCGGGCAACUCUGUGCACAGACCAAGGGAGAAAAGGUUGCUGACCCAAACCCCACCAGUGGACUUGGUGGUGCACAAGUUUGAACCAGGACAGUGGUCUUGCUGAAGGUGUGGAAAGAGGCAAAACUGCAGCCAAUGUGGGAAGGACCCUACCAAAUCCUACUUACCACCGAAACGGCAGCCUGCACCAUGGAGAAAGGCUGGACCCACCAUACCUGAGUAAAAGGACCAGUGGACGAACCUCCAGAGGACCCUACUUGGACUGUAGCCACGGCAGAUGCUCCCCUCAAAUUAACAUUUAAAAAGACACCAAGGGGUCUUUGAACCCUGAAGUAUCAGUACUAGUCUGGGACGCAGGACCAGACAGUUAUCCUGGGUGGAGCUCCUGGGAAAGAUACUGAAAGCUAGUUUGCCCACUGAUAGAUGGGUGGACCACAGGUCCAGGGCUUGUAGUGGGGGUUGUAUGCGGGCAUUAGGAAGUUAGACUAGAGCGAGGGCUAGACAAACCCCAAAUUAAGGAAUUGGUGUAGUUUUGGGUACUGUCAACAAGAAGAUUGGAGCAGGACAAGUGGAAUCCUAGGUACUUCCUAAGGAAAAUAGGGUUUAAAUUGGUGCAAGGAUUCAGAUUGAGAAAGGAUAGAGCGUGGGCCGACCUCCAAAGUGGAGAGUGAGCCCUCUCUUUACUCCAGACUGCGCCCCAAGUCCAGGUCAUUCACUCAGUCCUGUGCAAUUGUGAAUAUCAGUCUUUAGGGGAUUUUGCUGCAGGAUCAUGGGAUCCCUUGGAGGCAGGCCUAGGAUGAUAUACUUAUUGCAGAGAGGGCUUCUGGGUGAAUAUUUAAUCCUUGUGGGAAUACUGAUCCUACUGAUGGAUGUAAGAUGUGAGGACCUUGGGGAACCCAACUCCACUGUUUACAAUGAUCUAUUGGAAGAUGAUGAGUGGAGAGGAGGAGCAGGGUAUCCAGUUAAAUUGUGGGUAAAUGUUACCAGAGGACCAUUACAGACUGUUCAAUUUGAUGCUUGCCAGGUACUUGACUGUGGAAUACUGGAUAAUCAAAAAAAACUUAGUAGCUAUGAUAAAUAUUUAUGUCCAGAAGACCGGGCACGGCUUCAUAGGGGAGCACCCUGUCCAGGAUGGAGCAAUGUGUGGUUCACGACCGCCUUUAAUGGGUGGAUAUCACCCCAAGCAAAAGGGAAAGCCCUAACAAGUCAAAUCACCAUGGUUAGGGGGUUGACAGGACCAGACUGUGAGAACCUCGAAUGCAACCCCAUAAUACUCACCAUAAAAGAUGCAAACAGUGAAAUAAGUAGAACGUAUGGGCUGGGGGUCGAUGUAGCAGGUACUGACCCCGUUGCUAGGUUUAGAAUAGUAGUCCAAAGCCCACUGUAACAGGGAAGCCGACCCAAGAAUACUGCAGCCCUCCCAAUGAUACAGAAGUGGUCCCCUCUAAAUAACCCAGCAAUAGUAAGACUGACUGAAAUUUAUGACUUGAAAUAGAAACGGGAUAUGGAGAAGUGAAUGCCUGGUAGAAUGGAUCAAAUACACAGUGAAAAGUAUGAGUAAGAGCAACUGUUAUGCCUGUGCACCUGGCCAACCGAUAGCUCAGGUAGUUCCUUUCCCUUUGGGAUGGGAGAUGGAUCCUGAUCGGAUGCAGUGUAUGCUGUCUCUACCAGGAAGAAACUGCCUGGGGAAAUGAAAGUUGCCGAUCUCUUUCACUCCUAUUACCACCUGUGAAAGGUAAGGACAUGAAAGUGCCCCCAGUAAUCUCUGAGGCCUAUGGAAUUCCCUCCACUUGCCUGUCCAAACAAGGUAAGAACUUCACUAGAACAUGAGAACUGGAGUGUCCUGAAUAUCACCAAAGCAGCUGACAAUCAGGGAAAUUACUCCAAGCUGACUUUUGGUGGUAUUGUGGAGGGAAGAUUUUGAGGCUUGUGCUUGGUCAGGCACCUGUGCACUUGUACACUUGGCAAUCACAUUCCCCUGGCAUUCCAACAAGAAGCAAUUACAAAAGGAUGUAGAGUGAGGAGAGAUGUCUUAGGAACAUUGCUUGAUUAUAAAACGUGUAUUGAUGCAAUAGGAGUCCCAAGUGGAGUCCUGGAUGAGUUUAAAGCCAGAAAUCAAAUAACAGGAUUUGAAUCAUUUCUGUUUUGGUGGACGACGACAAAUAAAAAUGUAGACUGGAUAAAUUACAUCUACUAUAACCAGCAAAGAUUCUUGAAUUACACAUGAGAUGCUGUAAAAGGAAUAGCGGAACAAUUAGAUGCCAACAGCAAGAUGGCUUGGGAAAACAAUGGUUUUAGAUAUGAUCUUAGUGGAAAAGGAAGGGGUUUGUGUAAUGUUAGGAAGUAAGUGCUGCACGUUUAUUUCGAACAAUACAGCCCCUGCUGGAACCAUCGCAAGGGCCCUCAAAGGUCUUACUACUCUAGACAAAGAGUUAGCUGAGAAUUCAGGAAUCGAUAGCUCCCUCACAGGAUGGUUAGAGUCAUGGUUCAGAAAAUGAAAAGGUAUGGUAGUUUCAAUUUUCACAUCCUUAGUAGUAGUUGCAGGGGCAUAUUAACAGCCUUAGUUUGUUGCAGCAUUCUUUGCAUGAGUGGAUUAACCUCAAGACUAAUAGAAACAGCCAUAUCUAAACAGAUACCCUUACAACCCCCACCUUACAGUGAGGAUGUGAUGUUGAUGGAAGAAGAAAUAGGUUCUGAUAAGGAAGAUGGGAAGGCUGUACCUGGGGAUUGUGCCCUAAUCUUAGCUUCAUUUGAAGCUCCGUACAAUAACUAUGGCAGCUUGGAAAGAAGGGAAGCAAAAUGAGGAGUAACAAGAACUGUCAAAAUAGAAAAGCGGGGAUUUGUGUAAAACAAUGCAGAGUUGUUACUCAGUGAAGAAGGAAGUUGAGACAAGUUAAAACACAUAGACAAAACCAACUGAAGAAUAUUUUUUGAUUCCUGGAAGACAAGUGACUCACCUGAAAGAACCAUCUGUAGAGACAAGUGUCCACCUUAGGCAUAUUGGAUAGGCUGUAAACCCUCCAGUACCCAGCCAAUGGGGGAAAGGGGGAGGCUUCUUGCAGAUGGGGAUGGAAUAAAGUAAGAUGGCAAGCUCUGUUUGGUAUGCCUACUUGCUUGGGACACCCAUUUUUGCAAAAUUAUGAAAUAAAUAGAGCUGCUUGUAUUCAUGUUGUCUGGUAUCAAUUUUUCAACUCUGGCUAAAUAAUAUUUUUGUCACUCAUAGUAAUGAAAUGAUUAGUGUUACAGUUCAUUUAUAUUGCAAUUUAUUGUAGAUCCCACUGUUGAUUCAAGUAUACUGCUUUUUUACUCCAACUUGCUGUUUCAGUGGAGCUGCUCUAUAACAAAAAUGAUCCGAGAUGGAUGAUUGGGUUUAGUCAUUACAGCUUUCUCCAUUUUGGAUCAUUAGUAGACAGGAACAAAAAAUUGACUUGCCUUCCACUCAUUUGUUGCAUUUUGAAUAUUUUCAUUUUAAAUGGUAUAAACAUGUGUAAUUAUGCAUUCCCUUCAUGCUGAAGCAAUAGAGUUGUAUGGGCUCACUCUGGUGUUGGCUAAUAGCAACAUGAACCACCACCAUCAUCAUCAUCAUCAUCAAAAAUCUACUGGCAAGCCUGGUAAAAAAAAAUCAACUUGCCUGACAAUCAUGUUUUGUCUCAGGCAGAACUGACAAACACCAGAAAGAGUAAGAUGUACUAAAGAACACUUGCAAAUAAAAAUAAGGAUCACAUGUGGGAAAGCUGGUUAAAUGUACACAAACACAUGACUUUGCCUGGUCAACAUCCACCUGGAAUUUGGAGGGACAAUGGUUGAAGGAAAGCCAAAGGAACCAAAGAAUGUAUGUUUCUCAGAAAAGCUGGAUUUAUUUCACAUUGUGAUCUGUUUCUAAGGAAGUGUGGGGGGAGAAAGAAGAAAUAAAAGUUCCUUGCUUA